Long non-coding RNA from Nematostella vectensis (starlet sea anemone), 1030 nucleotides. RefSeq lists it as uncharacterized. NCBI's taxonomy places the organism in Eukaryota, Metazoa, Cnidaria, Anthozoa, Actiniaria, Edwardsiidae. The record is from RefSeq and is a predicted model, not a curated record. The transcript has 2 exons.
GUUUGUACCGUCUACUUAUGUUUGAGCCCCUACUGAUCAGCAAGCCGAGGCUACUGAGAGCCGAACUGCUUAAACUUCUCGAAUGACGAAUAAUUUCACCAGUCAAUUAUCUCUCAAGCCAACUGUUGAAAGGUCCUACCCAAAUACUGACUUGUGAGAUUCCACUUCCAUGAAACACCGAUUAUCAAGAGUAGCCGAGACACUGCCGACCUAAUAAUUAAAUAGGACUUGCAAUUGAAAAAGUGUUCAACCGAGACAACACCAAUUCCAGCCCUAUGUGAGGGCCGACCAUGCUACAAGGAUCCAGUAUCAAGGAGAGUAUACCACAGAGACAAAGACGGGUCGAUUCGGAAGUCUUUAAAAAAAUACUAACGUAGGGGCUUUGUCUUGCGCUAUAUAGUAAGUGAGGUGGCACAGGCCACUCGCGUUUUCUCGUAAAGUCUAUUUUCUUGUAACAACAUGAACGACUGACCUCGCCAGUUUUAUCACCAGAUUUAUUGUGCUGUUAUAACGAUAAAAAGACAAAUACACAGGGUAUGACCGCAGAGGAAAUCGCCCGUGCCGAGACCCGGGUUGUUAUUUCCUCUUCUAUCGGAGGUGUUCAAAUGGCACGAGUAUUCGAGUAUUCAAGUAUUUGACUUCGUUUUUCUGGAGGAUCUCUGGCUUCGAGCGAUCACAUAAUCGAGUCUAAUACAAAAUUUUACCCUUUUUUUCUAAUAAAAGAACGUUCCUCCGCACCUUGGUCUAAAGCACGUGUGCUGUUAAAGAAGGCCAAUCAUGCCGCCAUUUUAUGCUCCCGCUCAAUGCUGAGAGUCACACAAAGAAUCCAUCUUCAUCGGCUAAUUCAAGCAAGUAUUACUCAGUUAAACUGAGAAACUUUUAAUGAAAUAUCAUUAAUAAAGUAUAAGACUUCAAAUGUAGAUUGUUAUUUUAAAGUUUUCUUGCAAAUAAGCCAUUGUAUUUUCAAUUAUAAACAAAAACAAAAGAGAAGUCGAUCGUCAUGCUUUAUUAGAAACCACAUCGCUCUUCA